Long non-coding RNA from Xiphophorus hellerii (green swordtail), 708 nucleotides. RefSeq lists it as uncharacterized. NCBI's taxonomy places the organism in Eukaryota, Metazoa, Chordata, Actinopteri, Cyprinodontiformes, Poeciliidae. The transcript is spliced from 2 exons. The record is from RefSeq and is a predicted model, not a curated record.
UAAAUUCAAAACAAUGGCAAAGCAACUUCCAUUGGAACAAUGUUUGUAAGUCAUUGCUCUUUGUUUUAGGAAAAUCACAGCUGUGUAUAAAAGCAACAGCAAAUUGUUUUAAAAUAUAACAAAUACAAAUUUUUCAAUAUCUAAAGAAUAAGCAAAUAAAAAUUAUAUAUAUAUGUAUGUAUAUGCUGAUGAGACCAGAAUCAUGUUGAAGUAGAUAUUUACUGAAAAAUUAAAGGUUUACAAAAUAGGAUCCUUGAAGGGACUUAUCUAGGAGCAAACAAGUAAUAAAUGAGAACAAAAACGGGUGGAUCUGACAAUAACUGAGAACAAACUAGGUGCAAGAAUUAGGGUAAAAUUAGAAAAAUACCUGACCAAAAUAGAGAAAUAAACAGAGAGCUAAAUGACAAAACAUAGAAAAAGAACAAAGAGAUAAACUAAACUUACAAAUGCUCACAAUAACAGUUUUAUUGGUGUAUACAUAAUCAUAUUUACACAAAAUUAGACAAAAUAAUAAUUAUUUUAUGCUUUUUAUUCAAAGAUACAAAGCAUGUAAAAAAAUCUUUAUUUGUUGUAUGUAAAAUCAGGACACAUUUUACAAAAAACAAUGCAAAAUACAGAAAGAAUAUCUGCUAAAACAAUACCCUCCAGGGUUAAUACUCAGUUCCAUUACAUUGAUUACAUAGUAUGUUAGGCAUGUGUGUUAUCUUU